AGCAGCUCGGUCCAGUUGGCUGCACAAAGCACACGGUCAUUCUCGAAACGGUGGACUGGCCUUAUAGCACAACGGGAAGACAAAGCACGCUCGUAAGAGGCUGCAUCACUGGGAAGAUAUUUUCACCAGGUUAGUCGCAAAAUUGAAAUUAAAAGAACGUGUACUCACAAGAUCCGUCACUUUGCAGCACAGCUUUAAAGUAAGGCCGCUACUCACAGCUAAACGGACCUAGCUGGCAAGAUUAUUAAGACCGCUCACUCGAUUCACCCAAUCCGCAUGCGAUAAUCGGCAUCUGGGGAAGCAAAUCUGUCGAAGCGGUGGAAACCACGAACACGCAGAGGAAGAUCUGAAAGACAGCAUAAUAAGCGAGACAAAGUCAAACGGAUUGAGCGUCCGUUGGGGAACACGUGCAUCAUAACGACACGACGGGGAUCGAAAAGGUCCCCGUUUUUGUACAUAGAACGAAGUCGUUCCGGUCAUUGCGUGGUGAGAGAUCCGCGACGAACGAGGUGAGUGAUACCAUCGUAAAUACAGCACGUAAACUGCUGAGCCGUGAACGGCAGAGUUGCUGGAUUGAUAUUGGGCGCUCAGACGACCACGUGUGGCAUAUCAUAGCAGGCGUGGCCAGGAUUAGAGGGCGUGCUUCUUCGUGUUGGAAACGCGGUGGACCAACGAACCGAUUUUCGUAACGGUUGAUCAAAAGACACAGGACUGCUGCAAGACAAGCGUGGCGGACGAAGGGAAGUAACGUGACGUGUGUAGUGUGGGGCCCCCGCUCAAGUGUAGUGAGUACCUAGAAUUAAGCAUGCAAUAGACAGGAGAA
Molecule: long non-coding RNA, 823 nt
Organism: Topomyia yanbarensis
Lineage: Eukaryota; Metazoa; Arthropoda; Insecta; Diptera; Culicidae
Exons: 3
Source: RefSeq, a predicted model, not a curated record